This 402-nucleotide ribosomal RNA is filed under the name uncultured bacterium. Its description in RNAcentral is "bacterial SSU rRNA". It matches the Rfam family "Bacterial small subunit ribosomal RNA", at positions 355 to 774 of the family's 1533-position model. The record is from RNAcentral.
UGGGGAAUAUUGGACAAUGGGCGCAAGCCUGAUCCAGCAAUGCCGCGUGGAUGAAGAAGGUCUUCGGAUUGUAAAGUCCUUUCGGCGGGGACGAUGAUGACGGUACCCGCAGAAGAAGCCCCGGCUAACUUCGUGCCAGCAGCCGCGGUAAUACGAAGGGGGCUAGCGUUGCUCGGAAUGACUGGGCGUAAAGGGCGCGUAGGCGGAUGUCUUAGUUGGGCGUGAAAGUCCUGGGCUUAACCUGGGGAUUGCGUUCGAUACGGGAUGUCUAGAGUUGGGCAGAGGGUCGUGGAAUUCCCAGUGUAGAGGUGAAAUUCGUAGAUAUUGGGAAGAACACCGGUGGCGAAGGCGGCGACCUGGUCCUUGACUGACGCUGAGGCGCGAAAGCGUGGGGAGCAAACA